GGGAACAUACCCUUUUCUACGGAAUAGCUCUGGGAAACUGGGAUUAAUACCGUAUACGCCCUACGGGGGAAAGAUUUAUCGGGGAAGGAUUGGCCCGCGUUGGAUUAGCUAGUUGGUGGGGUAAAGGCCUACCAAGGCGACGAUCCAUAGCUGGUCUGAGAGGAUGAUCAGCCACAUUGGGACUGAGACACGGCCCAAACUCCUACGGGAGGCAGCAGUGGGGAAUAUUGGACAAUGGGCGCAAGCCUGAUCCAGCCAUGCCGCGUGAGUGAUGAAGGCCUUAGGGUUGUAAAGCUCUUUCACCGAUGAAGAUAAUGACGGUAGUCGGAGAAGAAGCCCCGGCUAACUUCGUGCCAGCAGCCGCGGUAAUACGAAGGGGGCUAGCGUUGUUCGGAAUUACUGGGCGUAAAGCGCACGUAGGCGGAUAUUUAAGUCAGGGGUGAAAUCCCAGAGCUCAACUCUGGAACUGCCUUUGAUACUGGGUAUCUUGAGUAUGGAAGAGGUAAGUGGAAUUGCGAGU
RNAcentral lists this ribosomal RNA (520 nucleotides) under uncultured bacterium. Its description in RNAcentral is "bacterial SSU rRNA". It matches the Rfam family "Bacterial small subunit ribosomal RNA", at positions 120 to 674 of the family's 1533-position model. The record is from RNAcentral.